RNAcentral lists this ribosomal RNA (441 nucleotides) under uncultured bacterium. RNAcentral describes it as "partial 16S ribosomal RNA". It matches the Rfam family "Bacterial small subunit ribosomal RNA", at positions 338 to 795 of the family's 1533-position model. The record is from RNAcentral.
CCUACGGGAGGCUGCAGUGGGGAAUAUUGCACAAUGGGGGAAACCCUGAUGCAGCGACGCCGCGUGAGUGAAGAAGUAUUUCGGUAUGUAAAGCUCUAUCAGCAGGGAAGAAGAAAGACGGUACCUGACUAAGAAUCCUUGGCUAACAGCGGGCCAGAAGCCGCGGUAAUACGGGGGGGGCAAGCGUUAACCGGAUUUACGGGGGGUAAAGGGAUCGGAGACGGCGGGUGAAGUCAGAUGUGAAAGCCCAGGGCUUAACCCGGGAACUGCUUUUGAUACUGGGGAGCUAGAGUGCUGGAGGGGUAAGUGGAAUUCCUAGUGUAGCGGUGAAAUGCGUAGAUAUUAGGAGGAACACCAGUGGCGAAGGCGGCUUACUGGACAGGAACUGACGUUGAUGCUCGAAAGCGUGGGGAGCAAACAGGAUUAGAUACCCCAGUAGUC